Molecule: transfer RNA, 858 nt
Filed under: Synechococcus sp. BE0807G
Lineage: Bacteria; Bacillati; Cyanobacteriota; Cyanophyceae; Synechococcales; Synechococcaceae
Description: partial 16S-23S ribosomal RNA intergenic spacer
Rfam family: tRNA (bases 173-245)
Source: RNAcentral
ACAGGGAGACAAACCUGAUCAUGAUGUCUGAGUACUUUAUUCUCAGGCCAUGGUCCUGUCACCUUAGGUCGAUCGGUACCUCAAGGAGUGAAUCAGAGAGUCUGAGCAAUCAGAGGAGACUGACUUUACUUUUUCAGUUCUUAAACGUUGUCUAGGUCACCCCAAAGCUCCUGGGCCAUUAGCUCAGGUGGUUAGAGCGCACCCCUGAUAAGGGUGAGGUCCUGGUUCAAGUCCAGGAUGGCCCAUGCAAAGCCUGCUGAGCAGGCAGGACUUGACAGCUGGGGGUUUAGCUCAGUUGGUAGAGCGCCUGCUUUGCAAGCAAGGAUGUCAGCGGGUUCGAGUCCGCUAACCUCCAUCGCAACGCAAAGCCCCACAAGCGCAAGCCAGUGAGGAGAGAGGGAGUGAACCAGACAGGGAAGGAGAGAAUGGAUCCGAGGGAAAGGGAUCCAUCAGCUGAGGAAGACUCCAGCCUUCAGGAUUGAUGGAGCCUCUGAAAGGCGCCAUGAGUUUUGAAUGCUGGACUCACAUUUCAUCAUGGUCAAGCUGUGAUGGGAUGAGAUGUUCAGCGAAGAACCUUGACAACUGCAUAGGUGAGUCUGGAAAGAAAGCAUCUCAUGGAUGCCAAUUGUUCAGCGCUGAUCAGUCUGGGAGACCAGGUUGAUGGCAAUGGGGAAUUGGAGAUUCUAUGACGUUAAGAGCCGAGACUUUCCAGUGUUCUUCCAAGGACUGGCCAAUCCAGCCAGACUGCGGGAGUUUGAUUCUGUGAUUCAAACCACAAGCGACGAUCAAGACGCCCCUUGGGGUGAAUUCAUGGUGGCGAGCAGGUGAAUGCAGAAGAAGCGGCCACAACAGCCGCAC